UGAGAUGGGUCAUCUCCAGCUACAUCUUGGUUUGGGCUGUAAGAGACCAAGCUCUGACAGGCAGGGAUCACACCUCCACUGGAAAUCGAAACAGCCCUCAGAGUCUCAGCUACGUGGAGAGCAAUAAAAGUCCAGCAGCACUGACAGGAACACACGGCUUAUUAGUUUAUGGCACCGUGGGACAUGGAAGCUCCCGAAAGCCAACAGGUUCUACAGCUUCCGCUAUUAAAAGCAAUUCAAUCUGAGACAAGAGAUGGGGGCCCUGGAGACGUGCUCCAGCUCCUGCUUUGUCCUGCUCCACCAGACAGCAUGGUCCAUAUGAAGCAGUGACCUCGCUGUGCAGCACAGACACCCACCCACCACUUCAAUGGAGACCACCACAACAGUCGUUCCUCUUUUCCUCGUACCAGAUCCCCCUCGCCUGCCCAGCACCACUGUGCCAGAGCAGAGUGGCAAAGGUUCCGUGACUCCUUCCCACUGCCCUUAGGACAGUCAAAGCUCCAAGCACCAAACAGCAGCCUGACACAUGGUGAACUCCUGAAACUGUUUUAAUAAUCCCUUUCCCUACACUAACCAGGCUUCAGACAGGAGAAUACGAACAUAUGAUGGAGAAGAGCAGCACCGCUGCCUGUAUUGGAAGCAGUGUGCCUGGAACUCAAAAGGAAGCUCCAUGUUCUGCUCAUGAAGUCCCUGCACAACUCCAGUACAGACAGAAGCAGCAACCUCACCUGUGAGAAGCCGCCUUCUUUGGUGCAAACUCGUAUUCUUCUGGAUACCAGCGUCUGUAAAGUUCUUUGACAGUGCUCACGUCAAUGAUCCGGUAAUGAAGAUGCCUCAUGAACUGUGGCAUGUAUUUGUCAAGAAAUUUCUUAUCUGCGUGAACAGAGUUACCUACAGAGACACAAAACAAGAUGUUAGCUCAGCGAUGUUGCAAAGCUCCUGCAAAAGACACCUAAGGGGAAUGGCUCAGCGAGCUGGGCAGAGAUGAGGGGUAGGACAAGCUAUUCCCAAAAAGCUUGUUUAGCCCUUUUUCUAGCAAAUAUGAUUGCAAAGGUUUGUCAGACUUUCCUUGUGGGAUCAGGCAUGGUGUUAAUACUUAAUCCGUCUAUAAUAAUUCAGAUUGCUCCUACCAUGUCUGUCAGGUAAGCAAUUAAAAGUAAGUAGCUCCUGAGGAGCAGUGGCAGCGUGUGCUGCUGUCUCCAGCCCACUCCUGAAGCACGGCCGAGCUCGAGUCCUCCGCUGGGGAAGGGGAAAGGCGCCCAGCACAGUACCUGAAUCUGCACUGAGGAAUGUGCAUUCUGUCAGCUCUGGGCUACUCUACACACAUCCUGUGCCUGUUUUCACCUGAGACUUCAAGUAACACCUUCCCCUUCCCCACUGGAAUGGUUUUGCUUUAUUCUGCGCACCACAGAACAGGCUUUACCCAGAGGAGCUUCCAGAGUCGCCUCUCUCACCCUGCCUGCAGCUCCCCCGCAAGCUGCUGCUCCGGCCACUGCAGCUCACACAGCAUCUCCCACACUGCUCAAACUGAUUAAAAACCAGGCUAUGAGGCACGGGCCACUUCAGGGCUGUAGUGUGGCUCAGGUACUGGAUGAGGGGUAAAGGUUCAGGGAUGCAACCUGCACCUGCACACCAGACCUUGAACAAAGCAGUACAUAUCACCUCCUCAGCACAAUCUAAGGAUGAUACUUACUGUCUGC
This is a long non-coding RNA of Pezoporus occidentalis (night parrot), 1700 nucleotides long. RefSeq lists it as uncharacterized. NCBI's taxonomy places the organism in Eukaryota, Metazoa, Chordata, Aves, Psittaciformes, Psittacidae. The transcript has 4 exons. The record is from RefSeq and is a predicted model, not a curated record.